This 500-nucleotide ribosomal RNA is filed under the name uncultured bacterium. RNAcentral describes it as "partial 16S ribosomal RNA". It matches the Rfam family "Bacterial small subunit ribosomal RNA", at positions 30 to 523 of the family's 1533-position model. The record is from RNAcentral.
AUUGAACGCUGGCGGCAGGCCUAACACAUGCAAGUCGAGCGGAUGAGUGGAGCUUGCUCCAUGAUUCAGCGGCGGACGGGUGAGUAAUGCCUAGGAAUCUGCCUGGUAGUGGGGGACAACGUUUCGAAAGGAACGCUAAUACCGCAUACGUCCUACGGGAGAAAGCAGGGGACCUUCGGGCCUUGCGCUAUCAGAUGAGCCUAGGUCGGAUUAGCUAGUAGGUGAGGUAAUGGCUCACCUAGGCGACGAUCCGUAACUGGUCUGAGAGGAUGAUCAGUCACACUGGAACUGAGACACGGUCCAGACUCCUACGGGAGGCAGCAGUGGGGAAUAUUGGACAAUGGGCGAAAGCCUGAUCCAGCCAUGCCGCGUGUGUGAAGAAGGUCUUCGGAUUGUAAAGCACUUUAAGUUGGGAGGAAGGGCAGUAAGUUAAUACCUUGCUGUUUUGACGUUACCAACAGAAUAAGCACCGGCUAACUUCGUGCCAGCCGCCGCGGUAA